RNAcentral lists this ribosomal RNA (448 nucleotides) under uncultured bacterium. RNAcentral describes it as "bacterial SSU rRNA". It matches the Rfam family "Bacterial small subunit ribosomal RNA", at positions 355 to 825 of the family's 1533-position model. The record is from RNAcentral.
UGGGGAAUAUUGGACAAUGGGCGCAAGCCUGAUCCAGCCAUGCCGCGUGAGUGAAGAAGGCCUUCGGGUUGUAAAGCUCUUUUUGGCGGGGACGAUAAUGACGGUACCCGCAGAAUAAGCUCCGGCUAACUUCGUGCCAGCAGCCGCGGUAAUACGAAGGGAGCUAGCGUUGUUCGGAAUCACUGGGCGUAAAGCGCACGUAGGCGGAUUUGUUAGUCGAGGGUGAAAUCCUGAGGCUCAACCUCAGAACUGCCUUCGAUACUGCAAGUCUUGAGUCCGGGAGAGGUGAGUGGAAUUCCUAGUGUAGAGGUGAAAUUCGUAGAUAUUAGGAAGAACACCAGUGGCGAAGGCGGCUCACUGGCCCGGUACUGACGCUGAGGUGCGAAAGCGUGGGGAGCAAACAGGAUUAGAUACCCUUGUAGUCCCUGAGCGGGCUGGCAAGGCGCAU